GAUGAACGCUGGCGGCGUGCUUAACACAUGCAAGUCGAACGAGAAAUGGAGACGGACACCUUCGGGCGGAAGGCUUCAUUUCGAGUGGCGGACGGGUGAGUAACGCGUGGGUAACCUGCCUCAUACAGGGGGAUAACAGUUGGAAACGACUGUUAAUACCGCAUAAGACCACAGCACCGCAUGGUGCGGGGGUAAAAACUCCGGUGGUAUGAGAUGGACCCGCGUUCGAUUAGCCAGUUGGCGGGGUAACGGCCCACCAAAGCGACGAUCGAUAGCCGAUCUGAGAGGAUGACCGGCCACAUUGGGACUGAGACACGGCCCAAACUCCUACGGGAGGCAGCAGUGGGGAAUAUUGAACAAUGGGGGAAACCCUGAUGCAGCGACGCCGCGUGAGUGAAGAAGUACUUCGGUAUGUAAAGCUCUAUCAGCAGGGAAGAAAAUGACGGUACCUGAGGAAGAAGCCCCGGCUAACUACGUG
This 478-nucleotide ribosomal RNA is filed under the name uncultured bacterium. Its description in RNAcentral is "partial 16S ribosomal RNA". It matches the Rfam family "Bacterial small subunit ribosomal RNA", at positions 28 to 507 of the family's 1533-position model. The record is from RNAcentral.